Small nuclear RNA from Hemicordylus capensis (graceful crag lizard), 107 nucleotides. Lineage: Eukaryota; Metazoa; Chordata; Lepidosauria; Squamata; Cordylidae. The record is from RefSeq and is a predicted model, not a curated record.
GUGCUCGCUUCAGCAGCACAUAUACUAAAACUGAAACGAUGCAGAGAAGAUUAGCAUGGGCCCUGCACAAGGACGACACACAGGUUCAUGACGUGUUCCAUAUUUGU